RNAcentral lists this transfer RNA (69 nucleotides) under Sphaerodactylus townsendi. Its description in RNAcentral is "tRNA-Ala". The record is from RNAcentral. Lineage: Eukaryota; Metazoa; Chordata; Lepidosauria; Squamata; Sphaerodactylidae.
GCGGCUCAGUGGUUGAGUAUCUGUUUUGCACACAGAAGGUCCCUGGUCCAAUCCCCAGUACCAGCACCA